AACGAACGCUGGCGGCAUGCCUAACACAUGCCAGUCGAACGAGACCUUCGGGUCUAGUGGCGCACGGGUGCGUAACGCGUGGGAACCUGCCCUUAGGUUCGGAAUAACUCCCCGAAAGGGGUGCUAAUACCGGAUAAUGUCUUCGGACCAAAGAUUUAUCGCCUUUGGAUGGGCCCGCGUUGGAUUAGCUAGUUGGUAGGGUAAAAGCCUACCAAGGCGACGAUCCAUAGCUGGUCUGAGAGGAUGAUCAGCCACACUGGGACUGAGACACGGCCCAGACUCCUACGGGAGGCAGCAGUGGGGAAUAUUGGACAAUGGGCGAAAGCCUGAUCCAGCAAUGCCGCGUGAGUGAUGAAGGCCUUAGGGUUGUAAAGCUCUUUUACCCGGGAUGAUAAUGACAGUACCGGGAGAAUAAGCUCCGGCCAACUCCGUG
This 433-nucleotide ribosomal RNA is filed under the name uncultured bacterium. Its description in RNAcentral is "partial 16S ribosomal RNA". It matches the Rfam family "Bacterial small subunit ribosomal RNA", at positions 29 to 507 of the family's 1533-position model. The record is from RNAcentral.